RNAcentral lists this non-coding RNA (117 nucleotides) under uncultured Mycoplasma sp. The record is from RNAcentral. Lineage: Bacteria; Bacillati; Mycoplasmatota; Mollicutes; Mycoplasmatales; Mycoplasmataceae.
CCUGGCACCUUUAAUCGGGUGACGGCGAGUUUUAGGCUAAGGCUAAAGCUACUAUCUAAAACUUGUAAAGUGCCACAGAGACGAGCUAUAUGGAAACAUAUAGGUGAAACGCGGUAA